Molecule: ribosomal RNA, 503 nt
Filed under: uncultured bacterium
Lineage: Bacteria
Description: bacterial SSU rRNA
Rfam family: Bacterial small subunit ribosomal RNA
Source: RNAcentral
GAUGAACGCUAGCGACAGGCUUAACACAUGCAAGUCGAGGGGUAGCAGGAUAGAAGCUUGCUUUUAUUGCUGACGACCGGCGCACGGGUGAGUAACGCGUAUGCAACCUACCUAUCAGGGGGGGAUAGCCCAUUGAAAGAUGGAUUAAUACCGCAUAAAGCAGGGGUCCCGCAUGGGAAUAUUUGCUAAAGAUUAUAUUGCUGAUAGAUGGGCAUGCGUUCCAUUAGUUAGUUGGUAAGGUAACGGCUUACCAAGACAUCGAUGGAUAGGGGUUCUGAGAGGAAGGUCCCCCACACUGGUACUGAGACACGGACCAGACUCCUACGGGAGGCAGCAGUGAGGAAUAUUGGUCAAUGGGCGAGAGCCUGAACCAGCCAAGUCGCGUGAAGGAUGACUGCCCUAUGGGUUGUAAACUUCUUUUAUAAGGGAAUAAAACCAUCCACGUGUGGGUGUCUGUAUGUACCUUAUGAAUAAGCAUCGGCUAACUCCGUGCCAGCAGCCGC